This 354-nucleotide transfer-messenger RNA is filed under the name bacterium. It matches the Rfam family "transfer-messenger RNA". From Rfam's summary of the family: Bacterial tmRNA, also known as 10Sa RNA or SsrA, is named for its dual tRNA and mRNA-like properties. The record is from RNAcentral.
GGGGAUGAAUGGCUUCGAUGAAGAAUGAACUGAAAUACGCAAGCCAAGUUGUUAGCUCUUGUAAAAACUAACAAUCGGAUAAGUGCCAACUUAUUCAAACAACCCGUCCUAGCUUACGCUUAAGUAGCUGGACCAUUCAGUUCCGAUGAUUCUCGCUAUGCGGAAAUGAGUGUCAAAAAUCAGCGAGAUAAGCGGCUUUUCUUAAUCCAGAAAAACCGCUGAAAAUGGAUGGAUUAAAGAUAUAGAAGUUUUGUCUGGUUUUAAUUCUAUGUUUUUUAUUAAACCAAACUAAGCUUGUAGAAUUAUUUUAGCCAAACUCUUCAGACGCGGGUCCAAAUCCCGCCAUCUCCACAA